UUCAGGAGCUGUGAUGCACACCUGUAAUCCCAGCUACAUGGGAAGGUGAGGCAGGAGAAUCACAAGUUGAAGGCCUUCUUGGAAAUUAGUGAGAUCCUGCCUCAA
RNAcentral lists this small RNA (105 nucleotides) under Marmota monax (woodchuck). Lineage: Eukaryota; Metazoa; Chordata; Mammalia; Rodentia; Sciuridae. The record is from RNAcentral.